AUGCAAGUCGAACGAGUCUCUGGGGGGUAACUCCUAGAGGAAAGUGGCGAAAGGGGCAGUAAUGUAUGGGUAACCUACCUUGAGGUCUGGGAUAGCCAUUCUAACGGAUGGGUAAUACUGGACGGCCUGAAUUGUCGGCAUCGAUGAUUUAGUAAAGGUUACGCCUCGAGAGGGGCCCAUAUGAUAUUAGCUAGUUGGUGAGGUAAUGGCUCACCAAGGCAAAGAUGUCUAGCGGGUGUGAGAGCACGACCCGCGUCACUGGCACUGAGACACUGGCCAGACUCCUACGGGAGGCUGCAGUCGAGGAUCUUCGGCAAUGGACGAAAGUCUGACCGAGCAACGCCGCGUGUGCGAUGAAGGCCUUCGGGUUGUAAAGCACUGUCGAGGGGAAACAAGCCGUAAGGUUGAGUGACCCCUGGAGGAAGCACGGGCUAAGUUCGUGCCAGCAGCCGCGGUAAGACGAACCGUGCAAACGUUAUUCGGAAUCACUGGGCUUAAAGGGCGCGUAGGCGGGUAAUCAAGUCAAUGGUGAAAUCCUCCAGCUUAACUGGAGAAGUGCCUUUGAUACUGGUUGUCUAGAGGGAGGUAGGGGCAUGUGGAACUUCAGGUGGAGCGGUGAAAUGCGUAGAUAUCUGAAGGAACGCCAGUGGCGAAAGCGAUGUGCUGGACCUCUUCUGACGCUGAGGCGCGAAAGCUAGGGGAUCAAACGGGAUUAGAUACCCCGGUAGUC
RNAcentral lists this ribosomal RNA (730 nucleotides) under uncultured Planctomycetota bacterium. RNAcentral's name for it is "bacterial SSU rRNA". It matches the Rfam family "Bacterial small subunit ribosomal RNA", at positions 55 to 795 of the family's 1533-position model. Lineage: Bacteria; Pseudomonadati; Planctomycetota. The record is from RNAcentral.